UACGGAGGGUGCGAGCGUUAAUCGGAAUUACUGGGCGUAAAGCGCACGCAGGCGGUUUGUUAAGCUAGAUGUGAAAGCCCCGGGCUCAACCUGGGAUGGUCAUUUAGAACUGGCAGACUAGAGUCUUGGAGAGGGGAGNGGAAUUCCAGGUGUAGCGGUGAAAUGCGUAGAUAUCUGGAGGAACAUCAGUGGCGAAGGCGACUCCCUGGCCAAAGACUGACGCUCAUGUGCGAAAGUGUGGGUAGCGAACAGG
Molecule: ribosomal RNA, 253 nt
Filed under: uncultured bacterium
Lineage: Bacteria
Description: partial 16S ribosomal RNA
Rfam family: Bacterial small subunit ribosomal RNA
Source: RNAcentral